UCCCUCAUAGCUCAGUUGGUAAAGAAUCUGCCUGCAAUGCAGGAGACCUGGGUUUGAUUCCUGGGUUGGGAA
This is a transfer RNA of Ovis aries (sheep), 72 nucleotides long. It matches the Rfam family "tRNA". Rfam says of the family: Transfer RNA (tRNA) molecules are approximately 80 nucleotides in length. Their secondary structure includes four short double-helical elements and three loops (D, anti-codon, and T loops). The record is from Rfam. NCBI's taxonomy places the organism in Eukaryota, Metazoa, Chordata, Mammalia, Artiodactyla, Bovidae.